Non-coding RNA from Camelina sativa (false flax), 443 nucleotides. The record is from RefSeq and is a predicted model, not a curated record. NCBI's taxonomy places the organism in Eukaryota, Viridiplantae, Streptophyta, Magnoliopsida, Brassicales, Brassicaceae.
UCAUCGGAGAUACGUCGUUCGCGCGAAGCAUCUCAACCAUCCUAUCUUUAGACGUCUCUUAGCUGAGGCUGAGGAAGAGUACGGAUUCUCCAACGUUGGUCCGUUGGCGAUACCUUGCGAUGAAUCUGUUUUUGAGGAUAUAAUCGAGAUUGUGAUUCGUUCUGAGUCGUCAUCUGGUGGUGGAUGUGGUGGUAUUCUGAGUCCGGCUACGUUAGAGGAUCUCCGGAGAUGUAGUCACGUUGGAUUAGCUAAGAGCGUUGAAUCUCGUCCGUUGCUUCCUCGGAAUAUUGCUGAAAAAUCUGUGUGCUAAUUAUUUGAAUCUAUGCUUUGGAGAUGGCAAAACAUUAGGGCUUGAUUGUUUUUUUUUUGGUUGUCGCCAGUGUCUCGUCGUCGUCUAUCAUCCCAGAUUUGAAUGAAGAUUAUGUUGAAGUUUUAUUUGGAGA